GAGAGUAUAGCUCAAGUGGUAGAGCACAUGCUUAGCAUGCACAAGGUCCUAGGUUCAAUCUCCAGUACCUUCU
RNAcentral lists this transfer RNA (73 nucleotides) under Camelus bactrianus (Bactrian camel). It matches the Rfam family "tRNA". From Rfam's summary of the family: Transfer RNA (tRNA) molecules are approximately 80 nucleotides in length. Their secondary structure includes four short double-helical elements and three loops (D, anti-codon, and T loops). Lineage: Eukaryota; Metazoa; Chordata; Mammalia; Artiodactyla; Camelidae. RNAcentral also lists the same sequence under 1 other name. The record is from Rfam by way of RNAcentral.